RNAcentral lists this ribosomal RNA (832 nucleotides) under uncultured bacterium. RNAcentral describes it as "bacterial SSU rRNA". It matches the Rfam family "Bacterial small subunit ribosomal RNA", at positions 33 to 905 of the family's 1533-position model. The record is from RNAcentral.
AAUCUAGCUGGAUGCCUAACACAUGCAAGUCGAACGAGAAGCAUUCUUCGGAAUGUGGAAAGUGGCGCACGGGUGAGUAAUACAUGGGAAUCUACCUUACACUGGGGGAUAACAGUUAGAAAUGACUGCUAAUACCGCAUACGCCAUAUUGGGAAAGCUCCGGCGGUGUAAGAUGAGCCCAUGCUAGAUUAGCUAGUUGGUGAGGUAAAAGCUCACCAAGGCAACGAUCUAUAGCGGGUUUGAGAGGAUGAUCCGCCACACUGGUACUGAGACACGGACCAGACUCCUACGGGAGGCAGCAGUGGGGAAUAUUGCGCAAUGGGGGCAACCCUGACGCAGCAAUGCCGCGUGAGUGAUGACGGUCUUAGGAUUGUAAAGCUCUUUUAGCAGGGAAGAUAAUGACGGUACCUGCAGAAGAAGUCCCGGCUAACUCCGUGCCAGCAGCCGCGGUAAUACGGAGGGGGCAAGCGUUGUUCGGAAUUACUGGGCGUAAAGGGUCCGUAGGUGGUUUUGUAAGCUAGAUGUGAAAGCCCGGGGCUCAACCUCGGAACUGCAUUUAGAACUGCAUCACUAGAGUCACAGAGAGGGUAGUGGAAUUUCCAGUGUAGGAGUGAAAUCCGUAGAUAUUGGAAGGAACACCAGAGGCGAAGGCGACUACCUGGCUGUGUACUGACACUGAGGGACGAAAGCGUGGGGAGCAAACAGGAUUAGAUACCCUGGUAGUCCACGCCGUAACGAUGAGUGCUCGCUGACGGGAUCUUCGAUCUCGGUGGCUAAGCUAACGCAUUAAGCACUCCGCCUGGGGAGUACGGUCGCAAGAUUAAAACUCAAA